UACGUAGGAUGCGAGCGUUAUCCGGAAUUACUGGGUGUAAAGGGAGCGCAGGCGGGACUGCAAGUUGGAUGUGAAAUGCCGCAGCUUAACUGCGGGGCUGCAUCCAAAACUGUAGUUCCUGAGUGGAGUAGAGGCAAGCGGAAUUCCGAGUGUAGCGGUGAAAUGCGUAGAUAUUCGGAGGAACACCAGUGGCGAAGGCGGCUUGCUGGGCUCUAACUGACGCUGAGGCUCGAAAGUGUGGGGAGCAAACAGG
Molecule: ribosomal RNA, 253 nt
Filed under: uncultured bacterium
Lineage: Bacteria
Description: partial 16S ribosomal RNA
Rfam family: Bacterial small subunit ribosomal RNA
Source: RNAcentral